GCAAGUGUAGCUCAGUGGUAGAGCACUUGCUUGAAUGCAUGAGGCCUGAGUUUGAUCUCCAGUACUGCA
Molecule: transfer RNA, 69 nt
Filed under: Heterocephalus glaber (naked mole-rat)
Lineage: Eukaryota; Metazoa; Chordata; Mammalia; Rodentia; Bathyergidae
Rfam family: tRNA
About the family: Transfer RNA (tRNA) molecules are approximately 80 nucleotides in length. Their secondary structure includes four short double-helical elements and three loops (D, anti-codon, and T loops).
Source: Rfam by way of RNAcentral